GAUGAAGAACGCAGUGAAAUGCGAUAAGUAAUGUGAAUUGCAGAAUUCAGUGAAUCAUCGAAUCUUUGAACGCACAUUGCGCCCACUAGUAUUCUGGUGGGCAUGCCUGAUCGAGCGUCAUUUCAACCCUCAAGCCUUAGUUGCUUGGUGUUGGGAGCUUAUCUUGCCGAAAGGCGGACAACUCCUUAAAACUAUUGGCGGAGUCGCGGUGACCCCAAGCGUAGUAAAUCUUUUUUUUCUCGCUUUAGGUGUUAACGCUGGCUUUCUAGCCGUUAAACCCUCUAAAUUUUUAGUGGUUGACCUCGGAUCAGGUAGGACUACCCGCUGAACUUAAGCAUAUCAAUAAGCGGAGGA
Molecule: unclassified non-coding RNA, 354 nt
Filed under: soil metagenome
Description: partial contains 5.8S ribosomal RNA, internal transcribed spacer 2, and large subunit ribosomal RNA
Rfam family: 5.8S ribosomal RNA (bases 1-120)
Source: RNAcentral